Molecule: long non-coding RNA, 1603 nt
Organism: Felis catus (domestic cat)
Lineage: Eukaryota; Metazoa; Chordata; Mammalia; Carnivora; Felidae
Exons: 4
Source: RefSeq, a predicted model, not a curated record
CGCGGGGCGGUGGCUGGAGAUAUUGGGGAGGGGGCUGAGUUGGGGGGAGCCUGAGGAAAAGGGGCCAACGGGGGGAGAGCAGCCCUCUGGGCAGACGAGUUAGAGGAAAAUGGCGCCCUCCCUGGCCGGGUGGGGUCCGCGUGGAGGCGAGGAGGCGGAGGGGCCCGGGUGUGGCGGAGAGGACGAGGUGCGAGGGGGAGGAACCGACGCGACGCCCUGGAGCCGGAGGGAGUGAAUCUCAGGGAGGCUGUGUUUCUCCGUGACUUGUCCUGAUGCCAGACGGUCAAAGAACGUGGAUGUACACAAGAAGGAAAUUACUCCUGGAAUUGAAUCAUACCAAGAAUUUCACCAGAGGAUUUUAUACAUUUGGGCUGUGGCAGCAGACCAAUUAAACCACAGAGCUGGUCUAGAGGUGAGAAGUCCAAGAUCAAGAGUGAGCAGAGUUGGUUUCUUCUAAGGAGCCUGAGGGAAGAAUCUGUUCCAGGUCUCUCUCCUUGACUUUUAGGUGGCCGUCUCCUCCUGUGUCUUCACACUGUCUCUUCUCUGUAUGUGUCUAUGACCACAUUUACUCUUCGUACAAGGAUGCCAGUCAUCUGGAUUAGGGCCCACCCUAAUGAUCUCAUUUUGCCUUAAGUACCUCUUUCAAGACCUUGUCUUCAAAUACAGUCACAUUCUGAGGUUCUGGGGGUUAGGAUUUCGACAUAGGAAUUUUAGGGGGAUAGCCCAUAAUAUCCCAUAUGACUAUGGCGAUCCAAAUUUUUGUCUUUCUCAUAUCCACACCUCUGAGAUAUUCAGAACCGUUUAUGUUUCCCUGCAAAAUAUGUCCAGGUGACCUGUAAUUAUGAGCAAUUAUUUUUCUGGACAUGAUAUAUUUUUAGUAAAUAUUAAAAGGAAAGUUCUUCGUUCAGAAGGAUGUCUCUACUUGAAAUGUUGUUCCAUCUAGCCUGUAGUCUACUAUUUUGGCAAAGAUAUAAAUAGAAUAAAGAGGGACUAUGUUGAAGAAGGGGUUUGACAGGUUAUUGUUUGGAGGUUACUAGGAUUCAUGGUAAAAAAAAUUUUUUUCAAACACUGUAUAUGAGGGAAAAGAGAGGCCUAUAUAAUGACAUUAUUUUUGGUAAUUCAAGGAAUACCAUUACCAUCAUUUACCAUCCCCACUAGUUAUUAAUUAUUAUUAUCCUGUGAGGAAACAGAGGGUUUACUCACUUGCCCAAGGUCUCACAGAUUGUAGCUGGUGUCUGCCCCAAGUCUAUAUGACUCCAGAGUUUAAACUCUUAACCGUUCAGAAUAAUAAAAAGAAACAAAAAGACUAAAAUGUUCCUUACACAUACACUUCUGAGGAGGCGAUAUAUCUAAGUAUACAUAAAUGAGUACUCUGGUUUGCCUUCAAUCUUAAUAUAUACUUAUAUCUUGAAAUGAUACUUUUUGUUCAGUGUUUGUAUCAUUGUUGAUUUCCUGUGUCAAAUGCAUCUGUCUGUCUUAGAUUUUGAAGUUAUAAAGGAUAAAACCCACGACCAGGUCAGUAUUUUAUAGUUUAUUUCAUUGUAGAUCUUGAAUUACGUUGAAAAUUUUAAAUAACUUUAAAAGUUUGGCUUUUUUCUUAUAA